GAUGAAGAACGUAGCGAAAUGCGAUAAGUAAUGUGAAUUGCAGAAUUCAGUGAAUCAUCGAAUCUUUGAACGCACAUUGCGCCCGUCAGUAUUCUGGCGGGCAUGCCUGUUCGAGCGUCAUUACGCCCCUCAAGUCCCCUGUGGACUUGGUGUUGGGGAUCGGCGAGGCUGGUUUUCCAGCACAGCCGUCCCUUAAAUUAAUUGGCGGUCUCGCCGUGGCCCUCCUCUGCGCAGUAGUAAAACACUCGCAACAGGAGCCCGGCGCGGUCCACUGCCGUAAAACCCCCCAACUUUUUAUAGUUGACCUCGAAUCAGGUAGGACUACCCACUGAACUUAAGCAUAUCAAUAAGCGGAGGA
Molecule: unclassified non-coding RNA, 358 nt
Filed under: soil metagenome
Description: partial contains 5.8S ribosomal RNA, internal transcribed spacer 2, and large subunit ribosomal RNA
Rfam family: 5.8S ribosomal RNA (bases 1-120)
Source: RNAcentral